GAUGAACGCUGGCGGCGUGCCUAAUACAUGCAAGUCGUGCGGAAAGGCCACUUCGGUGGUACUCGAGCGGCGGACGGCAGAGUAACGCGUAGGGAACAUACCCCCAAACUGAGGCAUAACUGCUCGAAAGAGCAGCUAAUACCGCAUGUGAUCUUCGGAUUAAAGCUUCGGCGGUUUGGGAAUGGCCUGCGUCCGAUUAGCUAGUUGGUGAGGUAAAUGCUCACCAAGGCUUCGAUCGGUAGCUGGUCUGAGAGGAUGAUCAGCCUGACUGGAACUGAGAACGGUCCAGACUCCUACGGGAGGCAGCAGUAGGGAAUUUUCCACAAUGGGCGAAAGCCUGAUGGAGCAACGCCGCGUGCAGGAUGAAUGCCUUCGGGUUGUAAACUGCUUUAUUAGUGAAGAAUAUGACGGUAACUAAUGAAUAAGGGUCGGCUAACUACGUGCCAGCAGCCGCGGUAAU
RNAcentral lists this ribosomal RNA (460 nucleotides) under uncultured bacterium. RNAcentral's name for it is "bacterial SSU rRNA". It matches the Rfam family "Bacterial small subunit ribosomal RNA", at positions 28 to 524 of the family's 1533-position model. The record is from RNAcentral.